UCGCUCACUCUGACAGCGCCGAGGUGCGCCGAGCAGGAGCGGGGAACAAAGGAGCGGUGUGGGGAGGGGAGCGAGUUGGGCGAGGGGGAGCCCCCGGCCGGCUGCCAGAAGAUUCCGGCAGGAGAAAGCCCAAGUGUCACUUGAAUUCCACCCAAGGAGCGGGAGCCUGGGAUCCGAGCGCCUUGUUUAGCAAUAACGGCUGGAGCGCGUUCUACAAGUUACGGGAGAGUCGGCCGGGAAGGAGGACAAUCACUCGGCCCCUUCGCCCUCGCUCCUAGCCCCUGGAGACCCCAGCGUCGCCUCGCGCUGGAAGGGGAGCUCCAGAAUGAAAAGCAAGAAAGGUGUUGUUGCCGCGUCUGGCAGUGAGACCGAGGAUGAUGACAGCAUGGACAGCCCCCUGGACCUCUCCUCUUCUGCUGGCUCGGGCAAGAGAAGGCGGAGGGGCAACCUGCCCAAGGAAUCCGUUCAGAUUCUCCGCGAUUGGCUGUAUGAACACCGAUACAAUGCCUACCCCUCAGAGCAAGAAAAAGCAUUACUGUCCCAACAAACACACCUCUCUACACUACAGGUCUGUAACUGGUUUAUCAACGCCCGGCGCAGGCUCCUCCCCGACAUGCUGAGAAAGGAUGGCAAAGAUCCAAAUCAGUUCACAAUUUCCCGCCGAGGGGCCAAGAUAUCUGAAGCCAGCUCUGUGGAGUCAGCAACAGGCAUCAAAAACUUCAUGCCGGCUCUAGAGGAGAGCCCUUUUCACUCCUGUACAGCUGGACCCAACCCAGCCCUAGGGAGGCCACUGUCUCCUAAGCCGUCAUCCCCAGGAUCCAUUUUGGCUCGUCCAUCGGUUAUCUGUCAUACCACUGUGACUGCAUUGAAAGAUGUGCCUUUCUCUCUCUGCCAGUCAGUUGGUGUGGGACAAAACGCAGAUAUACAGCAGAUGGCAGCCAGCAGCUUUACAGACACCUCCCUCAUGUACCCAGAGGACACGUGUAAAUCUGGACCAAGUGCACACACACAGAGUGGUCUUUUCAACACUCCUCCCCCUACUCCACCGGACCUCAACCAAGAUUUUAGUGGAUUUCAGCUUCUGGUAGAUGUUGCACUCAAACGGGCUGCAGAAAUGGAGCUUCAGGCAAAACUUAUGGCUUAACCCCUUUUUUCAAGCAAAACAGUUCUCAGAAAUGUUAUGAUUGCUGGGAUGAUGGCAAGAGUACGUGGGCCCCUCACUGUUGUGGCCUCUCUCGUUGCGGAGCACAGGCUCCGGACGCGCAGGCUCAGCGGCCAUGGCUCACGGGCCCAGCCGCGCCGCGACAUGUGGGAUCUUCCCAGGCCGGGGCACGAACGCGUGUCCCCUGUAUCGGCAGGCGGACUCUCAACUACUGUGCCACCAGGGAAGCCCGACCCUCUACUUUAAAACUCUGAAUCAGGAGUUCUCAAACUUAUCUACACAUUGGAAUUGCCUGGAAAGCUUUAAAAACAACUGUGGCUUGGAUUUCGGAAUUAUUUUAAAGAUCCCCUGAUGAUUCUAAUACAUAAACAAAUUUGGGAACCACUGCUCUAAACUAUUCUUUAGCCACUGUUUCUCUUUGUAAGUAGAACACUGGGAGUUGACAAUUGAUUCUCUUUGCAGACCUAGAAAAAUUUGCUUUUGUAGUCUUUUGGGGCAUUUGACAGUUUUUGUAAAAGAAAUGCAAUUUGCUGUAGAAUUAUCACCCAGGUCAGCUUAACCAGUGAGAGUUGAAUUUGGCACUGAGCUCAUCCUAUGGUGUACCUAUAGCCCAUACAAUAUGUAAAACCAAGACACUAACAAAUAGACCUAACACUGCAGGAAGGUAAACGUGGCUUUGGAUCGAACCAAAAAAUAAAGUUUAUAUCUGGAACCUGGCCAGAGAGUAAAAAGCAGUAUUCAGACAUCAAGGUUUAAACAGUCUCAGUGAGAGGAGAAUGUGGCAAGUCUUGACCUCUCACUAAAAACAGACUGCCAUCUUAGAUGGGUUUUAUGAUUCAGAGACUGGAAGCAGAAAAUACUCAACAAUACCUUGUGGCUGAGGAAAAGGAGUAACUUAAGGUUCACGGUCACAAUAGGACAGCUGACAAGUAAGGGCAGCAUGAUAAAACGAUGGAGACCACAACGACAAGGAUUUCACCAAAUACCAAGGAAACAGUCUUGAAUGAAAUAUUUUAUAGACACCGGAGAACGUACAAACUCUGAAGCACUGAGUCAGUGACUUACAAAUGGAAUCAAAUCCCACGAUAGGGAUGUACUCAGACUUGCAGAGAACAGACAUUUAAGUAACAGCAUAGGGAUAAGGAAAAUGAAACAAUAGAGGGGUUUUUCUAGAAGGUAAAUUGUUAUCCUAAGAAGCCUUGCCAACUUGCUUUUCUUGUUUUUUUUAAUAUUCCAAACUUGUCUUCAUAAAUAAAUUACUGAAACUUGAACAUGGUCACAUUUGAUUGAAUCACUCAAAUGUAUGACCUUAGGACAAAUUCAGCUUUUCUAUCUUGCCUCAAAUUAUUGCUAAUAUGUAUAUACUUAAUACACUAAAGGCAUGUAUUCUUUUCAUAUAAAUUUUAAUAUGAGGAUAGGGCUUUUAGAGAAUGUAAAUAGAUUGAAAUACACUAAAAGAUAGUCUUUUUAACUUUUAACCCUUUAAAUAACAUUUUAUUACCUUUUGGCUUGUUACCUAAUCUGAUCACUAAUGUUUUGUUACUUUAAAGUUCUUUCCAGGGAAUUCCCUGGCGUUCCAGUGGUGAGGACUCCGUGCUCUCACUGCCAAGGGCCUGUGUUCAAUCCCUGGUGGGGGAACUAAGAUCCCACAAGCCGCGCUGUGUGGCAAAAAAAUAAUAAAAAAAGGAAAAAGUUAUUUCCGUUGAUUUUUGUUUUGGAAUUUGAUUCAUUCAGAUGAGUCUGUGAAAUGCCUAUGUGUAUAUUUACGUUAGCUAACUUUUCCUCCAGCUUGUUCGUACAGACAGUCUGCACAAUCCGGAACAUCACUUACUUUAAAUUCUCUCAUCAACGGUCCUUCUAAUUGUAACAUGGUUUUCUGGUAGCAUCUGUAAGUCCAGUACUGAAAUAAAAAAUGUUAGAGUGAUUUG
Molecule: RNA transcript, 3090 nt
Organism: Lagenorhynchus albirostris (white-beaked dolphin)
Lineage: Eukaryota; Metazoa; Chordata; Mammalia; Artiodactyla; Delphinidae
Gene: TGIF1
Gene name: TGFB induced factor homeobox 1
Exons: 4
Source: RefSeq, a predicted model, not a curated record